RNAcentral lists this ribosomal RNA (519 nucleotides) under uncultured eukaryote. RNAcentral describes it as "SSU rRNA". It matches the Rfam family "Eukaryotic small subunit ribosomal RNA", at positions 1161 to 1699 of the family's 1831-position model. The record is from RNAcentral.
AGGGCACCACCAGGAGUGGAGCCUGCGGCUUAAUUUGACUCAACACGGGGAAACUUACCCGGCCUGGACACUGGAAGGAUUGACAGAUUGAGAGCUCUUUCUUGAUUCAGUGGGUGGUGGUGCAUGGCCGUCCUUAGUUGGUGGAGCGAUUUGUCUGGUUAAUUCCGAUAACGAACGAGACUCUAGCCUAUUAAAUAGGCUCCCGGCUUUUAAACGCCGGGAGGACUUCUUAGAGGGACAGGUGGCGGUUCAGCCGCACGAAAGAGAGCAAUAACAGGUCUGUGAUGCCCUUUGUUGUCCGGGGCCGCACGCGCGCUAUACUGAAGAGAUCAGCGUGCUUUAUGUUCCUGCUCCGACCGGAGUGGGGAACCCAGUGAACCUUCUUCGUGAUUGGGAUAGAAGAUUGUAAUUAUUCUUCUUGAACGAGGAGUUCCCAGUAAAUGCGAGUCAUAAGCUCGCGUUGAUUACGUCCCUGCCCUUUGUACACACCGCCCGUCGCUACUACCGAUUGAACGAUUU